RNAcentral lists this ribosomal RNA (512 nucleotides) under uncultured bacterium. RNAcentral's name for it is "partial 16S ribosomal RNA". It matches the Rfam family "Bacterial small subunit ribosomal RNA", at positions 28 to 507 of the family's 1533-position model. The record is from RNAcentral.
GAUGAACGCUGGCGGCGUGCCUAAUACAUGCAAGUCGAACGAAACUUCUUUAUCACCGAGUGCUUGCACUCACCGAUAAAGAGUUGAGUGGCGAACGGGUGAGUAACACGUGGGCAACCUGCCCAAAAGAGGGGGAUAACACUUGGAAACAGGUGCUAAUACCGCAUAACCAUAGUUACCGCAUGGUAACUAUGUAAAAGGUGGCUAUACUACCGCUUUUGGAUGGGCCCGCGGCGCAUUAGCUAGUUGGUAGGGUAAAGGCUUACCAAGGCAAUGAUGCGUAGUCGAAUUGAGAGGUUGAUCGGCCACAUUGGGACUGAGACACGGCCCAAACUCCUACGGGAGGCAGCAGUAGGGAAUCUUCCACAAUGGGCGAAAGCCUGAUAGAGCAACGCCGCGUGGGUGAAGAAGGUCUUCGGAUCGUAAAACCCUGUUGUUAGAGAAGAAAGUGCGUGAGAGUAACUGUUCACGUUUCGACGGUAUCUAACCAGAAAGCCACGGCUAACUACGUG